Molecule: long non-coding RNA, 1110 nt
Organism: Peromyscus eremicus (cactus mouse)
Lineage: Eukaryota; Metazoa; Chordata; Mammalia; Rodentia; Cricetidae
Exons: 5
Source: RefSeq, a predicted model, not a curated record
UGAACAACUUAGGUUCUGAAGCAGGCUUUUCUAGGUUAAAGUAGUAUGAGUUCUGUGAGGCACUGAAUAGUUUCUGAAUCCUUCAUUAAGUUUAGGCAGUUUAUGAAGUUAAGUUCACCUAAGGCCCUGCCAACAUAUCUGUUGUUACUAUUCACAUGGAAUAAAGAAUCUGAAUGUAUUUACUUUUAUAAAUAGGAAGAGGAAGAGGCAAAGAGGAAACUGGAAAUGGGAAGUUGUUGUUUUUAAUAAUAUGAGAUGUCAAACUCAAGUCACAUCAGAUAUGACUAUGAAAUGUAAUUUAAUAUGGAGACUUUUGACUCUUUUUUUUAAAGUUGCACUAAUCCAUUUUUAUUUUGUAUUUCCUUUGUAGACACCACAAUGAUCCUAAUUCUGGAUCCACCUUGCCUAAGUCAAGUGAGGAUGAUGGUGAUUUUGAUAACAAGAAUCUGCAAAGAAAUAUCCAAACUUGAAGACACCUAAUAAAAUGAAUGACCUCACUCCUAAUAAAUGCUUAGAAGUGAAAGAUGAAGGAACAUUAAACUCAGGUCCAAUGAUACUGCCGCCAUUCCAGUCUGGUUUAUGCAAGACAUUUCUAGGAGAGACUUUGACAGCAGAAUCCCUGGAGUAAAGAGAAUUUAGAGAAGAACAGGACAAAGCUUCACAUGGAAAUGCAGCACAGCAGGUCUACAGGAAAUGCACAAAGCUUGAGCCCGUUCACUGGGAGCUCUUCUGCUGGCAAUUUCGAUAGCACCCCAGGACCCAGAAUAAGUCUCCUCCAGAGAGAAAACCUGACAGCAUCUUCUUCAAACUCUCCACGAUCAACCAGGGGCCUGGAAGACUGCCUAGGAAUGGUUAGCUAUGGUUUCCGUUGUACAGUUCUGGUGCAGUUCUUAUUUUCAACUUGGAUGACUAUUAGGCUUUGCAGUUGACACCUCCUAAGUUAAGACAAGAGUGAAUCAUGAUAAAGAAGAAAAGUAGAGGGAUUAGAGAGAGGGCUCCACUGGGAAACUGUGCUACUGUGCAGUGCAAGGGCAUGAGUUCACAUCCCCUAGUGAAAUUAUUACAAAAUUUAUGUUGUUGUGAGAUACCAUACAUAUGUAUAUAUGCUCA